This is a long non-coding RNA of Leptopilina heterotoma, 338 nucleotides long. RefSeq lists it as uncharacterized. The record is from RefSeq and is a predicted model, not a curated record. Lineage: Eukaryota; Metazoa; Arthropoda; Insecta; Hymenoptera; Figitidae. The transcript is spliced from 2 exons.
ACGGAUUUGAGAUUGAAAAAAAUACGUGUUAAACAAUCCGAGGUCUUGGAAUAAACUGUGAGCCACAUGCUUCGUUUUAGAAUGAAGACUUCUACUGUCCGGUAUUAUAUGCUCGACUGCUUUAUAUUGCGAAGCACUUCAAAAAUUGUUCUCCUAUAAUUUGGAGAAUGUAAUAAUUAUUUACAAUUGAAACUUACGUAAGCUGCUGUCAUUGCGGGAUAAACUUCGAAUCCUGGCAUCACGUAGUACUGAGCCAUAAGGAACAUUUUUGUUGAAACUGCCAAGAAUGAAGCGGAACUCAAAUAAAAGAAGCAGGACAGACUGUUGAAUAUUACUUC